GAUGAACGCUGGCGGCGUGCCUAAUACAUGCAAGUCGAGCGAACGGACGAGAAGCUUGCUUUUCUGAUGUUAGCGGCGGACGGGUGAGUAACACGUGGAUAACCUACCUAUAAGACUGGGAUAACUUCGGGAAACCGGAGCUAAUACCGGAUAAUAUUUUGAACCGCAUGGUUCAAAAGUGAAAGACGGUCUUGCUGUCACUUAUAGAUGGAUCCGCGCUGCAUUAGCUAGUUGGUAAGGUAACGGCUUACCAAGGCGACGAUGCAUAGCCGAACUGAGAGGGUGAUCGGCCACACGGGAACUGGGACACGGUCAAGACUCCUACGAGAGGCAGCAGAAGGGAAUCUGCCGCAAUGGGCGAAAGCCUGACGGAGCGACGCCACGUGUGUUAUGGAGGUCUUCGGAGCGUAAAACUCUGUUAUUAGGGAAAAACAUAUGUGUAAGUAACUGUGCACAUCUUGACGGUACCUAAUCAGAAAGCCACGGCUAACUACGUG
This 497-nucleotide ribosomal RNA is filed under the name uncultured bacterium. RNAcentral's name for it is "partial 16S ribosomal RNA". It matches the Rfam family "Bacterial small subunit ribosomal RNA", at positions 28 to 507 of the family's 1533-position model. The record is from RNAcentral.